UACGGGGGGGGGCAAGCGUUGUUCGGAAUUACUGGGCGUAAAGGGUUCGUAGGUGGCUUGCUCAGUCAGACGUGAAAUCCCUCAGCUUAACUGGGGAACUGCGUCUGAUACUAGCGAGCUUGAGUGCAGGAGAGGAACGCGGAAUUCCAGGUGUAGCGGUGAAAUGCGUAGAUAUCUGGAGGAACACCAAUGGCGAAGGCAGCACUCUGGGACGUGACUGACGCUGAGACGCGAAAGCGUGGGGAGCAAACAGGG
RNAcentral lists this ribosomal RNA (255 nucleotides) under uncultured bacterium. RNAcentral's name for it is "partial 16S ribosomal RNA". It matches the Rfam family "Bacterial small subunit ribosomal RNA", at positions 524 to 777 of the family's 1533-position model. The record is from RNAcentral.